CUCUCUCUCUCUCGAAAUGAUCGAAAGUACUUGCGUGCUUAUUGGCCAGGAUGGAAUAAGCCAACAAGAAUUCUCAAUCAGACGCAUAAACAUUGGCAUUGAUCUGAUCUAAAACCGAACAAUUGCUUUGUCGAAACUCCUCCCUUGUCUAUUUCAUUGAUCAUAUCUUUGACAGUUUGUGCCAUCUCUUAUUCAAUUAUGCAUUCUUCUCCUAUUUAGCAUCUCUCAGUUUCAAAUUAUGCAACAGAAUGGAAUUCAUGAGAGGUUCAUUAACAUCACAAUAAGUUGAGCAGAAUUUGGCAGUGCUAGUUGUAUCUGGAAUAAAAUUAUAGUAUCUUUUUCAUUGUAAAAUAUUUGGAGAAUUGGAGUUAAGAAGUACCACAUGAUUGAUGAAUUCAAUCUGGUCAUAAGAAUGUACUUGAAUUUUCACAUUAGGGAAAUAUUUUAGAGCUAUCAUUUUGUUUUAUUGUUAUUUUCACAUAGGUGAUUUAUGAAUGAGAAGUUGUCAAUC
Non-coding RNA from Prunus avium (sweet cherry), 511 nucleotides. The record is from RefSeq and is a predicted model, not a curated record. NCBI's taxonomy places the organism in Eukaryota, Viridiplantae, Streptophyta, Magnoliopsida, Rosales, Rosaceae.